GACGAACGCUGGCGGCGUGCUUAACACAUGCAAGUCGAACGAUGAAGCUGGAGCUUGCGCCGGUGGAUUAGUGGCGAACGGGUGAGUAACACGUGAGCAAUCUGCCCUUGACUCUGGGAUAACUGCGGGAAACUGUAGCUAAUACCGGAUAUGAGGCUCGAAGGCAUCUUCGGGUCUGGAAAGAAUUUCGGUCAAGGAUGAGCUCGCGGCCUAUCAGCUUGUUGGUGAGGUAAUGGCGCACCAAGGCGACGACGGGUAGCCGGCCUGAGAGGGUGACCGGCCACACUGGGACUGAGACACGGCCCAGACUCCUACGGGAGGCAGAAGUGGGGAAUAUUGCACAAUGGGCGAAAGCCUGAUGCAGCAACGCCGCGUGAGGGAUGAAGGCCUUCGGGUUGUAAACCUCUUUUAGCAGGGAAGAAGCGAAAGUGACGGUACCUGCAGAAAAAGCACCGGCUAACUACGUGCCAGCAGCCGCCGUAA
RNAcentral lists this ribosomal RNA (483 nucleotides) under uncultured bacterium. RNAcentral's name for it is "partial 16S ribosomal RNA". It matches the Rfam family "Bacterial small subunit ribosomal RNA", at positions 28 to 523 of the family's 1533-position model. The record is from RNAcentral.